CUGUGUUCGCUGUUGUUUCCUCCAGGAAAAGAAGUUUGGAAAUAUCCCCAUUUUGCGGUGAAAUUUUAAACGGUGGCAGCUACAGAUGAGAUAAAUAACACGCUAAAUGCUAUGUCAACUUUGAAGAGGACGAACUGAGAAAAACACAGAAGCAUUUGGCUUGAAUGAGACUAAAGCAGCAGAGCACUGUUUGCUACAAUAAAGCGGAUUGAAACGCGUCCCCGCCGAUCCCAGUGCGCAACACUGAGGAAAUCAUCAGGCCACCUGCGCCCUAGGAUGUAAACUGGCGUCUUCACCGUGGGUGCCCAGCAGGAGAAUGGGGAAGGCACUCAGAAGACAGGACAAGGAUCAGAUUUAAAUGGUCUUCUGAAAGUUGCUCCAGCAUACCAUCCCCCUGUGUUGUUCCCACCAGUUCCCCAAAUGGGUGCCCAGCGGGGAACUAACAAGAAGAUGACAGUCUGUCCCUGUGGGUAACACCAGCAGCAACAAAGCCAGCGGGGUGAAAAGGUUAGGAGGAGGGGUGUGUCAGUGAGAGAAGAGGUGAGAGAGCGUGGAGAACAUAACACUCAACCUCUUCCAAUUAAGGAGCCAGCAGGUGCCAGAAGCUGUCACUGGUGAGGUUCUCAUCAAAACACAAGUGCCAACAUUCACACCAACGUGCCCGAGAGGAAGGAACGAUGCCAAGCAGUGUGAGUGUGUGUGCUUGGCUGGAUUGCUGCGAGACCUGUCAUCCUCAUCCCCUCACAGAAAACAGAGCCAGAGAGUGCAUGCUACACGCCAUACUCACAAAGCAUACAGUAAAGAAAAAAGGUCGUGCACACGCAGCCUCUGGACUCGAUCUGAGGCCUGGCUGGCUGCAGUCUGUUUAAAAUCAUUGCCAGGUGUUCACAGUCAACCAUACACUCAGGAAGAGGGAUGGGAGGAAGAGGUUUCAAAAGUAAACACCAGGCUUAUAUGGGCCACGUCUAUUCACCUCCACUCGGAAAAUAUGAAACAAGAUGCAAAACAAUAGGACAGACCAUCAGCCGCCGAUCUGCAGGUCUGCAUCAGUCUUCAUCUGGAGCAAAUCUAACAUAGAGACCCACUGUCUGUCUGCACACACAGACACACGUAAAGUCUGUUUAACUCAAAGCCCUGCUACUAAACCAUCCAAUUCUAAUACCAAGGGGGGCAUGUCACACCUGGUGUUGCCUUUAAAACAUGUUAAAACAUCUUGAGCAUGCAUGAGUAUGCAGGAAGACGAUGGUGAAGUCCCGAAACGCAAAAGACUGGGAGGAGAUCUGUGGCUUAUUUCAUGAGAUACUAUAAUCAAUGUACUCAGUAAGUCUUUUGUCCAUUCUGCUGCGCUUUCUCUGCCACAGCCUGGAGUUUUCUAUCAUCAGGUGAUCAGAAAGGGAUGCAGCGGUUGUUACAAUAUAACAAUCAGAUGAUACGCUGUAAAUGGCUAUAGAGAUGUGAGUU
Molecule: long non-coding RNA, 1461 nt
Organism: Monopterus albus (swamp eel)
Lineage: Eukaryota; Metazoa; Chordata; Actinopteri; Synbranchiformes; Synbranchidae
Exons: 4
Source: RefSeq, a predicted model, not a curated record